GACGAACGCUGGCGGCGUGCCUAAUACAUGCAAGUCGAACGCAGGAGACCUAGUUUGUUAGAUCGAAGGAGUGGCGAACGGGUGAGUAACACAUAAGCAACCUACCCACGAAGACUGGGAUAAUUUCUGGAAACGGGGACUAAUACCGGAUAGGUAAUCGGAAGGCAUCUUCUGGUUAUUAAAGGUUAAAAAUACGGGUGGAUGGGCUUAUGGCGCAUUAGUUAGUUGGUGAGGUAACGGCCCACCAAGACGAGGAUGCGUAGCCGGCCGAGGAGGGUGAACGGCCACAUUGGGACUGGGACACGGACCAGAGUCCUACGGGAGGGAGCAGUAUGGAAUGUUCGGCAGUGGGGGCAACCCUGACGGAGCGACGCCGCGUGAGUGAAGGCGGCGUUCGGGUUGUAAAGCUCUGUUGUGAAGGAAGAAAGGUAGAUAGAGGAUAUGUAAGUGACGGUACCUUACCAAGAAGCCACGGCUAACUACGUG
RNAcentral lists this ribosomal RNA (486 nucleotides) under uncultured bacterium. Its description in RNAcentral is "partial 16S ribosomal RNA". It matches the Rfam family "Bacterial small subunit ribosomal RNA", at positions 28 to 507 of the family's 1533-position model. The record is from RNAcentral.